This 470-nucleotide ribosomal RNA is filed under the name uncultured bacterium. RNAcentral describes it as "bacterial SSU rRNA". It matches the Rfam family "Bacterial small subunit ribosomal RNA", at positions 30 to 517 of the family's 1533-position model. The record is from RNAcentral.
AUUGAACGCUGGCGGCAUGCCUUACACAUGCAAGUCGAACGGCAGCACGGGAGCAAUCCUGGUGGCGAGUGGCGAACGGGUGAGUAAUAUAUCGGAACGUGCCCAGUCGUGGGGGAUAACUACUCGAAAGAGUGGCUAAUACCGCAUACGCACUGAGGUGGAAAGCAGGGGAUCGCAAGACCUUGCGCUAUACGAGCGGCCGAUGUCAGAUUAGCUAGUUGGUAGGGUAAAGGCCUACCAAGGCGACGAUCUGUAGCGGGUCUGAGAGGAUGAUCCGCCACACUGGGACUGAGACACGGCCCAGACUCCUACGGGAGGCAGCAGUGGGGAAUAUUGGGACAAUGGGCGAAAGCCUGAUCCAGCAAUGCCGCGUGAGUGAUGAAGGCCUUAGGGUUGUAAAGCUCUUUUACCCGAGAUGAUAAUGACAGUAUCGGGAGAAUAAGCUCCGGCUAACUCCGUGCCAGCAGCCG